Molecule: long non-coding RNA, 300 nt
Filed under: Nicotiana benthamiana
Lineage: Eukaryota; Viridiplantae; Streptophyta; Magnoliopsida; Solanales; Solanaceae
Description: long non-coding RNA (NBEN_LNC001743)
Source: RNAcentral
CUGUUGGUUGUCUCAUCGGUUCAUUGGUAGUAUUGGUGGUUUGUUCACACAAUUUUUGUGCCUUAAAUCAAUUACUUCCUGAGUAACAAUUUUGUACUUCAUAUAUUUCAUUCGUUAUUGUGUUCAUCUGUCGUCAUUCACAUCUAAAAUGACUGAUGAAGGUGUAAAUCCUCUUCCUGUACCUGCUAGUUUUGUUCCUGACCCGUCGAAUCCAUUAUUUCUUAUGUCUUCUGAUGUGCCUGGGGUUUCUCUAGUUACCAACCAAUUUUCAGGUGUUGGUUUUGGGGGUUGGAGAAGGAG